Molecule: ribosomal RNA, 749 nt
Filed under: uncultured bacterium
Lineage: Bacteria
Description: bacterial SSU rRNA
Rfam family: Bacterial small subunit ribosomal RNA
Source: RNAcentral
AUUGGACGCUGGCGGCAGGCCUAACACAUGCAAGUCGAGCGGAUGACGGGAGCUUGCUCCUUGAUUCAGCGGCGGACGGGUGAGUAAUGCCUAGGAAUCUGCCUGGUAGUGGGGGACAACGUUUCGAAAGGAACGCUAAUACCGCAUACGUCCUACGGGAGAAAGCAGGGGACCUUCGGGCCUUGCGCUAUCAGAUGAGCCUAGGUCGGAUUAGCUAGUUGGUGGGGUAAUGGCUCACCAAGGCGACGAUCCGUAACUGGUCUGAGAGGAUGAUCAGUCACACUGGAACUGAGACACGGUCCAGACUCCUACGGGAGGCAGCAGUGGGGAAUAUUGGACAAUGGGCGAAAGCCUGAUCCAGCCAUGCCGCGUGUGUGAAGAAGGUCUUCGGAUUGUAAAGCACUUUAAGUUGGGAGGAAGGGCAGUAAGCUAAUACCUUGCUGUUUUGACGUUACCGACAGAAUAAGCACCGGCUAACUCUGUGCCAGCAGCCGCGGUAAUACAGAGGGUGCAAGCGUUAAUCGGAAUUACUGGGCGUAAAGCGCGCGUAGGUGGUUUGUUAAGUUGGAUGUGAAAGCCCCGGGCUCAACCUGGGAACUGCAUCCAAAACUGGCAAGCUAGAGUACGGUAGAGGGUGGUGGAAUUUCCUGUGUAGCGGUGAAAUGCGUAGAUAUAGGAAGGAACACCAGUGGCGAAGGCGACCACCUGGACUGAUACUGACACUGAGGUGCGAAAGCGUGGGGAGCAAA